AAACUGGAUGACAACAGGAAUUUAUUCUCUCUCACCUCUAGAGAGUCUGAAAUCGAGGUGACAGCAGGGCCAUGCUUCCUUUUAAGACUCUAGGAAAAAAUCCUUUCUUGCCUCUUCCAGUUUCUUGCCUCUUGCCCGUGUGUUAAAGAAAGAAUUUUCAUGACACUUGUUAAAGAUGAUUAACUUCCCAGUAAAUUGCAGCAUGCCUGCCACAGCUGGAGGUGGAUGAAGAAUUCUGUUUUUAAAAGACCUCAGAGAACUGGAAUUUAAUUAAAUGAGCAUUUUUACUCCAUUCCAAAA
Non-coding RNA from Macaca mulatta (Rhesus monkey), 300 nucleotides. NCBI's taxonomy places the organism in Eukaryota, Metazoa, Chordata, Mammalia, Primates, Cercopithecidae. The record is from RefSeq and is a predicted model, not a curated record.